UGUCAAGCCUCAAGGAAGACGGCAUUGCCUGUGGAACAUCGUGCUUUUUACCACCUGGGCUCCAUGUUAUGCUCUUUUUUGAUGAGUUCUCUGUUUCCUUGUACAGACAGACCGGUGGACUUGACAGAUUUUUUGAAACUUGCUCACGCAGAAGAAGCUUAUAGAAGUAUUGCAACAUUAUAGAAAAGUUGAACACAAAUGUGAAAUUAUAUUCAGUUUGAAAAAAUUACUAGAUGAUAAAAAAAACUUGUAGAUUUCCUUAAUUCAGAAACCGGCCAAGUGGCUGAAAUGUUUGCUUGAUUGUGAAAUCAGUGAACUCCAUCUAGACAAGGAAAAGCCUAAAAGAUCAGUCGACCUUGAUGUUCAAGUCUUAGAUUUGAAUAGUACAUUUCUUAAGGGAACCAGUAUUCCCAAGAUUGAUAGUCAUGUCUUCCCAGUACAGUGGAUAUCAUGUAACAGUUGAUAGUCUACAUGAGGGAGCACUAGAUGACUUGGUUUCAGAAGCUUCUUACACAAUUUUUCUUUAUCCCAAUUCUGGUCAAUUGAAGAACUGCUCAGCAAUAGAGAUCUUCUGGUAGUGAGUCAGGAUAUUUUACAUUUUCCCACAGGGCUUUCUAAAGAAUCAUAGCCAAAAACCCAGACUGUCAUUCAUGCCCUUAAGAAACUAUCUGACAAACUUUCUGAAAGGACUAAAAAAUAUUUGAGAUGAUACGAGGGAUAAAAAUGUAUCUAAAUCUUCAAAAUUCUGAAUUAAUGCCUUGGGAUCUUCCUGCUACGAUGGUGUGAUUUAUGCCGAGGGGCAGUAUGACAUUGUGCCCAGUUUAUCUUGCACGUUUUUCUCCCAUGGAACACGAGUGGAAGGUCUGAAUGGUUUGUUUAAUAAACUGUGAGAGAUUUUGUUGUCUGAACAGUGGUCUGAAAAAGGGAGAUGUGUGGUGUGAAAAUGUUUGAAAACUGGCUGUGUUGGUGAAUCCCAAGGAUUGUUGGGAUACAUCUGUGACUUCUUUUCAGCAAAAUGACAGACUACAUCAAGAUUACCAUUUUACAAUUCCUGGAGGCACAUUAAAGGAAAAUGGAGACUAUCAACUCCCAGGCAUACUUUUCAUGCUUAGUCAUCUCCAUUCUUCUAAGAAAUUCACCAACUUUAUUAACUCCUGAAAUGGUAGAAAAUCUCUCUUGUGAAAUGGGCUAUGCCAUAUAGUCUAUGCAGGGAUGUAGUCAUUACCAACACAUCACUGGGACAGUGUGGCCCACUGCUUAUGCUGACAUUCCUUCUCUUCUAAUGGAGUAUUUUGCAAAUGAUUAUGGAGUGGUUAACAAAUUUGCUAGCCAUUAUCAAACUGGGCAUCUACUGUCAAUGGGUGUUUUGACUUUGUGAAUAUAAAAAUGUUUGUGCUGCAACUGCUGUGCAAGUUCAGGUCUUUUAGGUGACUCUGGAUCAAAUCUGCCCUGGGAAAGCAUUCCCUGAGGAAGUUAACCACAGACAUUCUCAAGAAAAUGCAGGGGAAAUUUUAUGGCCCACGAUGUAUUCUAAUUACUGCCUGGCAGGUGAGAUUUGACCACUUUCUAGGCAAAUAUUACUCUUACCUGUUGUCCAGGGCAGCACCUUCUAUGGUUUGGAAGGUAUGUUUUCUGUAGGACUUCUUUUAACAAGGCUACAGUGAGUGCUAUUGCAGGGAGAUGCUGGCACCUGAUAGUGGCCAAGAGCCCAUACUCAUGGUUCCAUGAGCUCAAAAGUGUUCUGUUGUUAAGUAUGUUUGGGAAAUUCUAUGUAAGCUUUGAAGGUUCACUGUUCACAUCAGAAGUCCUACAAUCACAA
RNAcentral lists this long non-coding RNA (1819 nucleotides) under Homo sapiens (human). RNAcentral describes it as "non-protein coding lnc-MTRNR2L11-6:2". The record is from RNAcentral. Lineage: Eukaryota; Metazoa; Chordata; Mammalia; Primates; Hominidae.